This 941-nucleotide ribosomal RNA is filed under the name uncultured bacterium. Its description in RNAcentral is "bacterial SSU rRNA". It matches the Rfam family "Bacterial small subunit ribosomal RNA", at positions 46 to 982 of the family's 1533-position model. The record is from RNAcentral.
GCAGCUACACAUGCAGUCGAGCGGUAGAGAGAAGCUUGCUUCUCUUGAGAGCGGCGGACGGGUGAGUAAUGCCUAGGAAUCUGCCUAGUGGUGGGGGAUAACGUUCGGAAACGGACGCUAAUACCGCAUACGUCCUACGGGAGAAAGCGGGGGAUCUUCGGACCUCGCGCCAUUAGAUGAGCCUAGGUCGGAUUAGCUAGUUGGUGAGGUAAUGGCUCACCAAGGCGACGAUCCGUAACUGGUCUGAGAGGAUGAUCAGUCACACUGGAACUGAGACACGGUCCAGACUCCUACGGGAGGCAGCAGUGGGGAAUAUUGGACAAUGGGCGAAAGCCUGAUCCAGCCAUGCCGCGUGUGUGAAGAAGGUCUUCGGAUUGUAAAGCACUUUAAGUUGGGAGGAAGGGCAGUAACCUAAUACGUUAUUGUUUUGACGUUACCGACAGAAUAAGCACCGGCUAACUUCGUGCCAGCAGCCGCGGUAAUACGAAGGGUGCAAGCGUUAAUCGGAAUUACUGGGCGUAAAGCGCGCGUAGGUGGUUCAGUAAGUUGGAAGUGAAAUCCCCGGGCUCAACCUGGGAACUGCUUUCAAAACUGCUGAGCUAGAGUACGGUAGAGGGUGGUGGAAUUUCCUGUGUAGCGGUGAAAUGCGUAGAUAUAGGAAGGAACACCAGUGGCGAAGGCGACCACCUGGACUGAUACUGACACUGAGGUGCGAAAGCGUGGGGAGCAAACAGGAUUAGAUACCCUGGUAGUCCACGCCGUAAACGAUGUCAACUAGCCGUUGGAAGUCUUGAACUCUUAGUGGCGCAGCUAACGCAUUAAGUUGACCGCCUGGGGAGUACGGCCGCAAGGUUAAAACUCAAAUGAAUUGACGGGGGCCCGCACAAGCGGUGGAGCAUGGUGGUUUAAUUCGAAGCACGCGAAGAACCUUACCUGGCCUU